Molecule: ribosomal RNA, 909 nt
Filed under: uncultured bacterium
Lineage: Bacteria
Description: bacterial SSU rRNA
Rfam family: Bacterial small subunit ribosomal RNA
Source: RNAcentral
ACGCUGGCGGCGUGCCUAAUACAUGCAAGUCGAGCGAAGUUUUUCUGGUGCUUGCACUAGAAAAACUUAGCGGCGAACGGGUGAGUAACACGUAAAGAACCUGCCUCAUAGACUGGGACAACUAUUGGAAACGAUAGCUAAUACCGGAUAACAGCAUUAACUGCAUGGUUGAUGUUUAAAAGUUGGUUUUGCUAACACUAUGAGAUGGCUUUGCGGUGCAUUAGCUAGUUGGUGGGGUAAAGGCCUACCAAGGCGACGAUGCAUAGCCGACCUGAGAGGGUGAUCGGCCACACUGGGACUGAGACACGGCCCAGACUCCUACGGGAGGCAGCAGUAGGGAAUCUUCCGCAAUGGGCGAAAGCCUGACGGAGCAACGCCGCGUGAGUGAAGAAGGAUUUCGGUUCGUAAAGCUCUGUUGUUAGGGAAGAAUGAUUGUGUAGUAACUAUACACAGUAGAGACGGUACCUAACCAGAAAGCCACGGCUAACUACGUGCCAGCAGCCGCGGUAAUACGUAGGUGGCAAGCGUUGUCCGGAAUUAUUGGGCGUAAAGCGCGCGCAGGUGGUUUAAUAAGUCUGAUGUGAAAGCCCACGGCUCAACCGUGGAGGGUCAUUGGAAACUGUUAAACUUGAGUGCAGGAGAGAAAAGUGGAAUUCCUAGUGUAGCGGUGAAAUGCGUAGAGAUUAGGAGGAACACCAGUGGCGAAGGCGGCUUUUUGGCCUGUAACUGACACUGAGGCGCGAAAGCGUGGGGAGCAAACAGGAUUAGAUACCCUGGUAGUCCACGCCGUAACGAUGAGUGCUAAGUGUUGGUCUCAUAAGAGAUCAGUGCUGCAGCUAACGCAUUAAGCACUCCGCCUGGGGAGUACGACCGCAAGGUUGAAACUCAAAGGAAUUGACGGGGACCCGC